GACCUUCUAGCUUCCAGAACCGUGAGAGAGUACGCAUCUAUUGUUUUAAGUCACCAAGUGUGUAGUAACUUGUUAUCGUAUCCCCAGGGACCAGCUCAGGUGCCAUUCCACAGAUGUGGAAGCUGAGGUACAGAAUCGGCAGAGGCCUGGCAGAGUUCCCCUACAUCUAGGCAGCUAGUUGGGCUUUGAAACCAGGGCUGACUCCAGAGUCUGUGCUUUUUUUCUUUUCUUUCUUUCUUUCUUUCUUUUUCUUUCUUUCUUUCUUUCUUUGGUCUUAUUUAUUUAUUUAUUCAUUGCUUUUUUAGAACCAUACUCGAGCCACAUGGAAGUUCCCAGGCUAGGUCGAAUCUGAGUUAUAGCUGCCAACCUCUGCCACAGCCACAGCAACUCAGGAUCUGAGCUGCAUCUGUGACCUACACCACAGCUCAUGGCAACGCCGGUCCCCAACCCACUGAGCGAGGCCAGGGUGGAACCUGCAUCCUCAUGGAUGCUAUUCGGAUUCGUUUCCACUGGGCCACAACAGGAACUCCCUUUUUUAGGGCCACACCUGCAGCAUAGGGGUCAAAUCAGAGCUGCAGCUGCCAGCCUACCUCACAGCCACAGAAACACCAGAUCUGACCCGCAUCUGUGACCUGCACCACAGCUCACCACAACACCAGCUCCUUAACCCACUAAGCAAGGCCAGGUAUUGAACCUGAGUCCUCGUGGGUGCUAGCCAGGAUAUUACCACUGAGCCACGAUGGGAACCCCAGGAGUUGGUACUCUUAAUUCAGCUGGAUUCUGGGUAGCAUCAUCAUCUUCUUGGGGAAACCAAAAGCUGUUCUCAACUUUUACAUUUUGAUGGACUUCACCCUCCACUGAUCCCGAAAGGCAUUAUUCUGCGGUAUUAGAGUGGUUUUGUCAUGUGCUUAUUAGAAGUUUUGUCUUCUAUGACCCAGCAGAGGCUCUGUUCAAAUCACACAAUUUUUCACAAAUGUCACAUAGCCAGGCCCCCACCUGGCUGGGCCUGGCAGCCAGGGACUAGGUUCUUCCUCAGUGGCUCUUACAGAGGGUGCUUAAGCAGCUCACACCCCUCAGACCACAGCAGAAACAAGCUGCUCUGUGUACAGCAUCCUCUAGCUGCUCUUAGAGGGCCCUGCUGACUUGGAGAGACAACCAGGAAGUGAAUUGGUGCAGAAUCAGUGCAGUCUGAACUACUCCCCAGACUCCAUUUGACCCAACGCUUUACCUUCCUCUUCCAUCAAAAUGAUUUUUCUAAUUUGCAAAUAUUAGAAAGAUUUUCAGAUUUGAGCAUCAUCUUCAUUUACUCCAUGUUCCUUCUCUCUCUCUCUCUCUGCCUCCAUCCGGAAACACGUGCCUGAGAAAGUAGACUAGAGGUAACCCAAGAGCGGAUUUCCAGCCCUGGCAUAACCCGGGCUUUGUUUAAUCAGUCAUUCCCUCUGAGACACACAAAAGCAUACCGGGUAGCUCCCAUGUGCCUCCUUGGUGUUUUUACGCUUUGACCUGUAGCUUUGCCGAGAGCCUCCCCUACCAGGUUCCCCAGGGAACACAGAAAUGUGAUCCACGCGGGCACCGGGGCCUUGGUUUUCAGGUGCGGGCCAAAGAGAAGCCUAUUCAUCUCAAGCUCCGUGGGCUCCAGGCUGCAGUAGGCUGUUAUUCAGGUUGUUAAAAGCUUCCAUCCCUGGGGGAAAACUCUUCCGCCCUGGCGACCGUGACCCUGACUCAGGAGCGUAAGUGGAGCCCAGGCACACCUGUACCUCUGACAGCUGAGCCAGACACAGAAAAGCCUCUGCUGACAAGCUUAUUGGACAGCAGACACCUGCAGAGGGGCCCACACCCUUUUUCGUGAGGGCCCUGACAGCAGUCUUGAGCCAACAGGUCUGUGCACAUGGCGGAGGAGAGCUGGCUGGGCCAUUCACAAAGGAGGAGCUGGACUUUGCCAAACCCCAGCGUCACGCUUGGGAGGAAGCACAGCCCCAUUCAUCACUGGAAUUCGUUGUUCCUCCCUCACCGGUUUUGUUCCAAAGAAAAUCCCAUCACUGUCCUGGUGAGAGAAGGAUGAGGGCAAAGCCAGUUUCAAUGUGUUAGGCCUACUGUGUGCCUGCCCCAGAGUAGGAACUUUAUAUUUACCAUCCUGUUUAAUCUUCCCAAGAACCCAUGUGACACAAGUGCCGUUUUUUGUUCUCCUGAUUUUACAGACAAACUCAGCUCAGAGAGGUGAAAUCACUUUGUGCGAGACUGCACGUCUAAGGAGCAGCCAGGCAGAAUUUGAAAAGGAUUCCCCCAGGGUUUUGUGUCCACUGCCAGCUGUUCCUAAGCAAAUCAACUCAGGAAGCCCAAAGUCCAGGGGUGGGGGCCUGUUCAUUCUGUUUGGGGCCCUUGGUUAGUGGGACUCACGUAGCUACACGUUGGCUCUGCGGAGGGUCAGCCCGCAGGCGUGACCCUGCUUCCCAGCACUCUGGGCAGAUGUGCAGGAUGGCCUGGGACCCCCUGCGUCCAAGCGGACUUUGCUUUCAGACUCCUCACCAGCCUGAACUCGAGGCAAGUGUCCCCCUCUAUCCAUCGAGAGGCACCUCGUUUUAUUCUUUAAAACAGUGGUCCUGGGCUGCAGGCAGUUUUGUUUCCUAGGAGACAUCUGGCAGUGUCUGGAGACAUUUUUGGUCGUCGUAACUGGGAGGGAGUGUGCUACUGGCAUCUAGAAGGGAGAGGCCGGGGGCGCUGCCGAGCAUCUCACAAAGCACCGCAGGAGGAAUGAUCUGGCGCACAAUGUCAGCAGUGCCCAGGUUGAGAAACUGCUUUGAAAUCUGACCCCACCAUGCCCAGGGAGGCUUUCGCACAGUGGCUGGCACACAGCGAUGAGCGCCCAUUUCCAAGCAUUCCUGUGGGAUGCUGAGUCGGUGGUCCCUGGCGGGUGAUCCUGGGGGCCGAGGAACUGGAUCCUUCCCCCUCGCAGUGACUGUCCAGGUCCCUGGAGCCAGCCCACACCUGAACCUGGCUGCCUAGUGCUCCCCUAACACUGGCUGUCUCUAGUAUGGAUAACUCUGUAUGAAUCUGUUCCUUCAUUGAAGCGUUUUGGUUCUUGUUUCUUAAAUAGAGCAGCCAGCUAGCUAGGUGGUGGCAGUGAACUGGGCUCUGAAGAGAUGUUUAUUGAGUCUGAACUCUUGAGCCUUUAGUGGACAUCGGAGUUCCCACUGUGGAGCAAUGGGAUGGGCGGCCACUCUGCAGUGCCAGGACGCAGGUUCGAUCCCUGGGCUGGCACAGUGAGUUAAGGAUCCAGCAUUGUCACCCCUGUGGCAUAGGUCACAGGUCACCACUGUAGCUCAGAUGUGAUCACUGUCCUGGGAACUCCACAUGCCAUGGGGUGGCCAAAAAGGCUUUAGUGGAUAUGGGGGUGGCUUUGCAACCGCCCAGGGGAAAGAGCAUGGUCACUGGGCUCAGAACUGGCUUUUGACUGGCACCUCAACCCCUUCUUGGAGCCAUCGUUUCCUAUUGUGUGAAACAGGAGGCAUCAUUCUUACUGUCAAGGGCUGGUACGAGAAUUAAUUGGAAUAACGAAUGCAAAGUGCCUAACCCAGCAGGUGGCAUAAUAGACACUUAAAUGGUCCUGUGAUUACGAAAAGACGAGGACAGGCUGGCCGUGGGGGAUUGGCUGGGGGACAGCCUGUGUGUCACCAGAGUGGUCUGGAUCUGUUUGGAGGGCUUCGCUGGUCACCCCGCACCCAGGCCCUGGCCUGCGGAGUGGGUUCUGUACGUGGGCUGGGAUGUCCUGUCCGGGGACCCCUGGGUGUUCUCAGGAGGGAGUGGAGCCAGCCCCUGCUGAGGCACGUCCCGUGGCCUGGCCUGGGGGAGUGUGCGAGCAGAUGUCACCUGGAACCCUGUUCUCCUGCGACCGUCCAGGGAGGUGGCUAUCCAAGGUGGUAUGUGACUUCCAGUCACCAGGGUGACCCUGGGUGAGUGAUGUGUCCUGCUUAAACCUCACUUCCUUCCCUCUGUGAUGGGUCACGUUAGCUGCUUCCUGGGGGUUACGUGAGGAUUCGGUGAUGACGAUGACGGCGGUGAUGACACGGAGAAAUAACGACUAGGGAAGUAACUGGCCCUGGCCGGGACCUGAAAGGGUUAAUUUGAUUGUUCUGGUUCCAUUCUUUUCUCAAGGCGUAGCUGAGGUCCUCAUGCACGUGACCACUUGCCUCAAUGGUUGCCUCAACCUCCCCGUCACCCAGGGACAUGAACCCUCUGCCCACGUGGGCUUGUCACCUCCUUUUCCCUUUGUCCCUUCUCAUGGCCACUUCCACACCUUGGCCACCAGGGAGCUGCUUAGAGCAGCCUUCUCUCUCUUCCCAUGCAAAAUCCUCUUCCUCUCUUUUUCUUUUUCUUUUUGGCCUCGCCCACAGCAUGCGGAAUUUCCCGGGUCAGGGAUUGAACCUGCGCCACAGCAGCAACCUGAGCUGCUUGCUACAGUGACCAUGCCGGAGCCUUAACCCACUGCACUGCAAGGAAACUCCCACUCCUCUUCCUCUCUUGAGGCACAGCCCUGGGCCCCUCUCUCCUUGUCACCCACCUUCCCUAAGAGCUUGGGUCACUGUCCUCUGAGCACCAGAGAGUGGCCACUGUGCCACGUGGAACCACGGUGCCUCAUGAAGGGCCAGACAAAGAGUUUACGGACUUGGCCCCUCUGCUCAGAGCAUGUCUGGGGCAAGACCUUCAGCAGAGGCCGUCCGUGUUCCUCCUUCGCCUACCGCAUCCCUUCGUGCCAUUUGCCCGGAUUUCAGCUGGUACGUUUUCUUGCUGUAACAUACUUCCUAAUAGAGCUGUGUGCGCCGACGCAGCUCUUCCCCCGCUGAGCCGUGGGGACCACGCGUUGGUUGACUUUAUGUCUCCAGACUCUCACAAACGUCAGGAACAGGGGGGCAAACACGGAGGAAAGACCGAAUCAAUGUUUCCCACCCCCCGCCUGCCCCCUUUGGAACCAGGGGUCUGUGUGUUAGCAAAUGUCCCUUCCCUCUUUGCCACCAGAGGCCUGGUCUCGGGAGGGUCUGAGAAGAGGUCCCCAGGGGUGGACAGUGGCGGGGAGGGGCUCUCAGGCUGCCUGUCGGCAUCCCUGAACGCACCCUCGACUCUCUGGCCUCAGCAGGAUCCAGAUCACAGGGACACAGCACUGCUUUCAUCAGGGCAGAGAAGGAAGCCUCAUUGUCCUGCUCUCCUCCUGAACGUCCCCCGGGCAGAGAGGAGCCCUGGCUUCUCUCUGUGCAUUUUUUCCACCAGCCAGUCUACAGGCUAUGGUCCAAAUUAAAUGUCC
This 5296-nucleotide long non-coding RNA is filed under the name Sus scrofa (pig). Its description in RNAcentral is "lncRNA (ENSSSCG00015070211.1)". Lineage: Eukaryota; Metazoa; Chordata; Mammalia; Artiodactyla; Suidae. The record is from RNAcentral.